UCGGGAAUUUUGGGCAAUGGGCGCAAGCCUGACCCAGCAACGCCGCGUGAAGGAUGAAGUUUUUCGGAAUGUAAACUUCACAAGAAUGGGACGAAGAGAGAAGGGCAAAUACCCCUUUGAUUUGACGGUACCAUUUGUAAGCUCCGGCUAACUCCGUGCCAGCAGCCGCGGUAAUACGGGGGGAGCAAGCGUUGUUCGGAUUUACUGGGCGUAAAGGGCGCGUAGGCGGCGCAACAAGUCGCUUGUGAAAUCUCCGGGCUUAACUCGGAGCGGCCAAGUGAUACUGUCGUGCUAGAGUGCGGAAGGGGCAACUGGAAUUCUCGGUGUAGCGGUGAAAUGCGUAGAUAUCGAGAGGAACACCUGCGGCGAAGGCGGGUUGCUGGGCCGACACUGACGCUGAGGCGCGAAAGCCAGGGGAGCGAACGGGAUUAGAUACCCCGGUAGUCCUGGCCUUAAACGAUGGAUGCUUGGUGUCCGAGGUUUUAUAGUCCUCGGGUGCCGGCGCUAACGCAUUAAGCAUCCCGCCUGGGGA
Molecule: ribosomal RNA, 532 nt
Filed under: uncultured bacterium
Lineage: Bacteria
Description: bacterial SSU rRNA
Rfam family: Bacterial small subunit ribosomal RNA
Source: RNAcentral